UCUUUUCUUUUUGUGUGGUCAAAACUUCUCCUCCUUAUCUUCGUUCUUCUCUUUCUCCUUCGUUCUUCUCUUCGUCGUUCACUCUAAAAAUAAAAUCAAUCUCUAUAACAAAUCCAAAUCCAACGGAGCAAGGUACCAAUAGAAUGAAACGAUUGUGAGAAAGAGGAGACGAACAUGAUACGAGGAAUCAUGAGGGGAAGAGGCAAAGACGUAUCGGCGUCGUCGUUGCCGUCAUCAGCUAAUCUAAAAAUCGUGAAAUCGUGGAACAUGAGAGGAUAGAACAACGAAUUCAUCUUGUUUCAACAUAGUUCUUUUCGUUUUCAAGAUCUGUCUCCGAACGCGAUUUCAUGAUGUAAUCUCCGGUUUUCUGAAGAAGCGACGAGGGGGAGAACCUCAAAGGGAAAAGAGAAGAAACAGAGAAAGGGGAGAGGGAGAAGCAAAGGAAACCAUGAAAGAAGAAAGGAAGAGAGGAGGCGCAAGUUCUCUCCGCCGCCACGUUUUCCGAUCUCCCUCACUUUCUUAUUCGCCGUCUCGUUGCCUAACGAACUUGUCGCCGACAAUCUCUCCGCCGAACAAGAGAGGACGAAACAACAGCUGUAUUUUAUUUAAUUAAUUAUUUAAUAAGAAAACUUCACUUUUAAUUAAUUAAUUAAUUUAAAAUA
Arabidopsis lyrata subsp. lyrata is the source of this 662-nucleotide long non-coding RNA. RefSeq lists it as uncharacterized. The record is from RefSeq and is a predicted model, not a curated record. NCBI's taxonomy places the organism in Eukaryota, Viridiplantae, Streptophyta, Magnoliopsida, Brassicales, Brassicaceae. The transcript has 2 exons.